AUUAAAAACCAAUUGUUCAGAGAACAAUUGAAGGUCUUUCCACCAGUAAAUAUCUAUUUUGAUAUUAGAAUAUUAAAAAUCAGUCUAAAAUGUCAGUUCCUAUGGCUUUAUGAUGUAAAGAUAUGAAUUUUAAGCAAAGGUCAUAAUCUAGAACGUCAAAUUUACCUAUGACCUUGACCUCAAUUUCAAGGUCACAAACUGAGGAUCUCAAAUCAAAAGACCCUAGGUCUCUAAUAUGUAUGGUUAAUAAGUUAUAUCAAUUUACGCAUAAUUUUAGAUAUGAUCGGGGCUAAAACUCCCAGUCAUUGUCUACGCACCCUUUCAACCAAAAUUAUUAAGUUACGACAUGUCGCAACUAACAUUUUAGUAAAAAUAAUUUGUCGAU
This 385-nucleotide long non-coding RNA is filed under the name Mytilus galloprovincialis (Mediterranean mussel). The record is from RNAcentral. Lineage: Eukaryota; Metazoa; Mollusca; Bivalvia; Mytilida; Mytilidae.